GCCCAGGUCGCCUAAUCUGGUAGGGCGCCAGCCUGGAGAGCUGGUUCCCGUAAGGGAGUGUGGGUUCGAGUCCCACCCCGGGCG
Molecule: transfer RNA, 84 nt
Filed under: Escherichia coli
Lineage: Bacteria; Pseudomonadati; Pseudomonadota; Gammaproteobacteria; Enterobacterales; Enterobacteriaceae
Description: tRNA-Ser
Rfam family: tRNA
About the family: Transfer RNA (tRNA) molecules are approximately 80 nucleotides in length. Their secondary structure includes four short double-helical elements and three loops (D, anti-codon, and T loops).
Source: RNAcentral